AACGAACGCUGGCGGCGCGCCUAAUACAUGCAAGUCGAGCGAGAAGACGUAGCAAUACGUUUGUAAAGCGGCGAACGGGUGAGGAAUACAUGGGUAACCUACCCUCGAGUGGGGAAUAACUAGCCGAAAGGUUAGCUAAUACCGCGUACGCUCCUUGGACUUCGGUUCAGGGAGGAAAGCGAUACCGUGGGUAUCGCGCUCUUGGAUGGGCUCAUGUCCUAUCAGCUUGUUGGUGAGGAACGGCUCACCAAGGCUUCGACGGGUAGCUGGUCUGAGAGGACGAUCAGCCACACUGGCACUGCGACACGGGCCAGACUCCUACGGGAGGCAGCAGUAAGGAAUAUUGGACAAUGGGGGCAACCCUGAUCCAGCGACGCCGCGUGUGUGAAGAAGGCCUGCGGGUUGUAAAGCACUUUUAGUGGGG
This 424-nucleotide ribosomal RNA is filed under the name uncultured bacterium. RNAcentral's name for it is "bacterial SSU rRNA". It matches the Rfam family "Bacterial small subunit ribosomal RNA", at positions 29 to 444 of the family's 1533-position model. The record is from RNAcentral.